RNAcentral lists this transfer RNA (82 nucleotides) under Hypnocyclicus thermotrophus. It matches the Rfam family "tRNA". Rfam says of the family: Transfer RNA (tRNA) molecules are approximately 80 nucleotides in length. Their secondary structure includes four short double-helical elements and three loops (D, anti-codon, and T loops). Further hydrogen bonds mediate the characteristic L-shaped molecular structure. tRNAs have two regions of fundamental functional importance: the anti-codon, which is responsible for specific mRNA codon recognition, and the 3' end, to which the tRNAs corresponding amino acid is attached (by aminoacyl-tRNA synthetases). tRNAs cope with the degeneracy of the genetic code in two manners: having more than one tRNA (with a specific anti-codon) for a particular amino acid; and 'wobble' base-pairing, i.e. permitting non-standard base-pairing at the 3rd anti-codon position. The record is from Rfam by way of RNAcentral. Lineage: Bacteria; Fusobacteriati; Fusobacteriota; Fusobacteriia; Fusobacteriales; Fusobacteriaceae.
GGUUAGGUUCCCGAGUGGCCAAAGGGAGCAGACUGUAAAUCUGCCGGCUCUGCCUUCGAAGGUUCGAAUCCUUCCCUAACCA